UAGAGGAUAGAAUUGGGUGGUGUGAGGGGGGAGAGAGGUGAGGAGAGGAGAGUUGAGCCCAUGUGGCGCAAGGGAGCGAAGAGAGAAGAUUAAUCCCUGUUCAAGGCGCAAGCGGUAGUCCGGAUGGCCCCUAUGCAAGGACAGUCCGAACACGGACAGGUGUUGUAAAGAGUGAGCGGUAGA
This is a long non-coding RNA of Octopus sinensis (East Asian common octopus), 183 nucleotides long. RefSeq lists it as uncharacterized. The transcript has 3 exons. The record is from RefSeq and is a predicted model, not a curated record. Lineage: Eukaryota; Metazoa; Mollusca; Cephalopoda; Octopoda; Octopodidae.